Molecule: transfer RNA, 47 nt
Filed under: Pseudo-nitzschia pungens
Lineage: Eukaryota; Bacillariophyta; Bacillariophyceae; Bacillariales; Bacillariaceae
Description: partial Selenocysteine transfer RNA
Source: RNAcentral
GCGGGCGGGCCUCAAAUCCAGCGGGGGUUCCUUGCGCAAGGUGGUUC